CCCUUAGAUGUUCUGGGCCGCACGCGCGCUACACUGAAGGAAUCAGCGUGGCUUUCUCCCUGACCCGAAAGGGUUGGGAAACCCGUUGAAUCUCCUUCGUGAUAGGGAUUGGGGCUUGAAAUUGUUCCCCAUGAACGAGGAAUUCCCAGUAAGCGCGAGUCAUAAGCUCGCGUUGAUUACGUCCCUGCCCUUUGUACACACCGCCCGUCGCUACUACCGAUUGAACGGUUUAGUGAGGGCCUCGGAUUGGUCUCGGCCCGCUCUUUACCGGGCGGCGCCGUUGGUCGAGAAGACGCUCGAACUUGAUCGUUUAGAGGAAGGAGAAGUCGUAACA
RNAcentral lists this ribosomal RNA (334 nucleotides) under uncultured eukaryote. RNAcentral's name for it is "partial 18S ribosomal RNA". It matches the Rfam family "Eukaryotic small subunit ribosomal RNA", at positions 1470 to 1796 of the family's 1831-position model. The record is from RNAcentral.